Long non-coding RNA from Glycine soja, 405 nucleotides. RefSeq lists it as uncharacterized. Lineage: Eukaryota; Viridiplantae; Streptophyta; Magnoliopsida; Fabales; Fabaceae. The transcript has 2 exons. The record is from RefSeq and is a predicted model, not a curated record.
ACCUACAUGACUUGAAUUUAAAUAGCUGGCAAUGGACCAACAACUCCUUCGACUGCUCCAGUUGGUUCUCCUUCUGGUUCAUCAGCUGAAUCACCUGAAGGCUCAAUUAUUCCUUCUGCUUCAGACUUUCCCUCAGGUGCAGGAUCUAAAACUGUGCCAUCAAUAGACGGUGGUUCAUCUGAUGGAAACGCUAUUAAAGUCCCCUCCCACUUGGUGCUCUAUCUUCUUGCCCUUGUGUCUUGUGUCUUAACCUUCACCAAGUUCUGAUUAUUUUGAGCCAACAGAGAUUUGAGUGCUGAAUUUUUAUGUUUAGUGUUCCUUGCCAUAGAAGAUAUAUAUUUGACCUCGAAUAAAUAAAGGAAUAUUUAAUACAUGAAUUUGAUAAGAAGUACUUGUUGGUGCUGA